UCUUGCUUCUAGCAUAACUUCAGAACCGUUGAUGGAAGGCAGCAGCUAGGUGGCAGUGUGCCAAACAAAAGAGUCAAGACAAAAAGAUGGUUUCUAAAGAUUCAUGACUGAGCAUGCCCUAAAUAGCAUGGAAAUCUGAACAGAAACCAGUUAAUGGCACAUAAUCCAUAAUAUAAUUGCAAUUGACAUAUUGUAGCCAUGUGGUAAAUAGGGCGAGGGUAAUUACAGUUUUGUCUUUCUUCUAGGUUCUAGGAGCGACUCUGCCCUAACCAUUCUCCAUUUAUUAUGUAAAACAGAAAUGGUGCCAUAUGCCUUGGUCUGAAGAACACUGUAAAUACAUGUUCUAGCUUAAGAUUCUCACUGAAACAAGAAAGGUACAUGACACAAGUGUGAAUGUUUACUGACAGGUAACUAUGAAAUUGAACAUGGUAUACAGCCUUCUGCUGUAUGUAUGUAUAAAAACACCACGUAGCAAUAGUUACUAAAUGGCAUACACAGUCCCUCGAGGCUGACCAGAACAAAAGUAUAAGUCAGGUGUCCUGCAAAGUGAAAAGAAUCCUUCUGCACAGAUAACCAUGCAGCACCAGCACUGCUCUGCAGUAGCACAGCCUAAGCGCUACUGGAGCUUCACACUUGUUUAACGAACCGUUUCAGUGUAACGACUACAACAUGCCCAGUGACGAAUUUGCUCCCCCAGUGGUCAGAAAAAGAAAUCCCACUCUGUACAACAGCUUUGUUCUUUCCAUAGCCUAACUACAUGGUUGAACUGCCUUCUGUGUACUUAUUACGGACAAGAAAGGAAGAAACAUGUACACAAGCAAUCCAGGAACAUAUCUUUUCUAUUGAUAAGCCUUAAGCUAGAGGAUCAUCACAUUAUCACAACCAGAAGACAGCUUCUUUGCUUGAGUAUCAGGAAAACGGGAGGAGAUUCGAGACAAUGUUUUGCUGAGAACCCUUCAGGUUUUGUUUACUACCUUGAUGAAAUACAAAGUUGGCUGCAGGAUAAGUCACGAGGACAGUAUGCCAAGAUGUGAGAACCUGCAGGAAGUCUUAGGGUCCCAACAGCCUUUUGAAACAACAGCACCUCCCUAAAACAUUACCAAACUGACAGAUGUUUUUCCUUUUCUCUUUGUGGAGAAUCAGAGACCUGUAAGAAACAUGAAAAGAAAAAAAAAUGUAAAGUCUAAUUUAAAAGCACAAAAGUAAGAACUAUCCAUAUCCAAUCCUAUCACAUCCUUCUUUUAGUCCUCCAGCUACUCUUCUUCCAAAAAUUUUUUAAAUUAAAUAGAAGCACAUUUAAUGUUUCAAAGAAAGUAACUAGCAGAACAAAUGUAUUCAUGAAAAAUAAACAACACUCAAAGGAGGACCGUUGUUAAACUCUCACUACAAAUUAAUCCGUCUGUCUACCUUCAGAUAUCUCAUGCAACUAGAUCAAAUCCUCAACAGAAAAGGAAUGAACAGCAUAUGCCUUGCUUUCUAGACAAAGAAAAUAUGUGUGUAAUGGCCUCAGGUUAUAGAAACACUAUUUCCCUACAUUUAUGAGAAAUAUUUACUUCUUUGUUAACUAAAACUAUUCUGAUACCUUCAGCAGAAAAUGUUUGUGACUCUAAUGUCAGGAAGCACAGAUGCCUAAAAAAGACUAUUUUGCCCCAGAAUAAAGUAAAAUAUUCAGAGUUUAUCAAACCAUCAUAUCCAUUCAGCACAACACGGAAUGGUUUGGGUUGGAAGGGACCUUCAAGAUCAUCCCUUUCUAACCCGUUGUCACGGGCAGAGUUGCCAUGAAACAGAACUACUGCUACUUUGCAGAGACAUUAGGCAUGGGAAGUCUGAGAUUUGGCAUGGAAUAGAUCAUCCUACUGCACACUGAUUCCUGCAGAAUUUUUCUACUUGGCCAUUUCUUCCUGUAAAUCUGUGCUUUCAACAACUGCUCUCAUUAGCUUAGAAUAAGGGGAUGCUCCGGGAAAGCUUUCCACCAACCCAUUGGCCUAGAUUGACAAAGCAUUCAGCCUAACAAGCAAGACAGCAGAUUCUUUCUUUAUUAAUUUAAAUAGAACACUUGAGCUCCAGUGCAAAGUCUUUCUGCAGCUCAGGUUACAUCCAGUGAUGGUCCAGAGGUGGGAAUAGGGAUUAGAACCUGGGUGGUAUGUAAAAAACAGUAUUUUGCCAGCCUUUUCAUUAGGCUCUCAUUUCAAACUUGAUUGUAGAUUCAGAGACGGCAUAGCUGAAAACCUUUAACUAAUUCUCCACAGUGCACAGCAAGCAGUUUGGCCAACCAUCCAGCCAACAGUUUAAACAAGACUUGGGUUGGAACUUGGUCAUUAAUCAGGUUGCGAGUCCUAAGAAUGGAGCCUGUGCUGUGAUUUGGAGGGGGACAAAAAAGAACAGCCACAACACCGAUGUGGCACAACAAAAAGGUUCAAAAUUUUGCCAUCCUCACCACUUCCUCGGUCUUGAGGGGAAAGAAGGAGGGAGGGAAAGAGGGGGCCAACCGCCAUUUCACGACCGCUCCCCGCGCGCCGCUGCCCCGACGGAAGCCGCUGCCCUGAGGGAGCUCCCGCCCUGAGGCGCU
Long non-coding RNA from Gallus gallus (chicken), 2569 nucleotides. The record is from Ensembl. Lineage: Eukaryota; Metazoa; Chordata; Aves; Galliformes; Phasianidae.